AUCUUUGCACUUGGGGCAAUGACGCAGCUAGUGAGGUAUACCCGAGGCGUGUCAAUUGCUGGUUGAAAACUAUUUCCAAACUAAUGAGGUCUUUACAAGUCGUUGAUAUUGGUGGCAUUGGGAGACAAGUGUAGAAAGUGACGCCUGAUA
RNAcentral lists this small nuclear RNA (150 nucleotides) under Amborella trichopoda. RNAcentral's name for it is "snRNA U4". The stretch from base 1 to 83 matches the Rfam family "U4 spliceosomal RNA". From Rfam's summary of the family: U4 small nuclear RNA (U4 snRNA) is a component of the major U2-dependent spliceosome. Lineage: Eukaryota; Viridiplantae; Streptophyta; Magnoliopsida; Amborellales; Amborellaceae. The record is from RNAcentral.